GGCAGCUCCUCCAUUUCCUCCGUGGGAUGGAUGUUGUAGAGUGAAGAGGUUUGGACAGACUGGACAAAGCCAAAGUGUAUUGCAGAAGAGAUGUCUGGCUCUCACAACCGGCUCUCACAACCAGCAUUACGAGUCUCUUCGAAUGACCAACUUUCCAGGGAGAGCUUGGUCUGCUGUGUCCUGUGGGCCCAGGGACCAUGGCCCUGCCUGGAGCUGUGCCCGAAAAGGU
Long non-coding RNA from Lampris incognitus (smalleye Pacific opah), 229 nucleotides. RefSeq lists it as uncharacterized. NCBI's taxonomy places the organism in Eukaryota, Metazoa, Chordata, Actinopteri, Lampriformes, Lampridae. The transcript has 3 exons. The record is from RefSeq and is a predicted model, not a curated record.